This 1564-nucleotide long non-coding RNA is filed under the name Physcomitrium patens. RNAcentral describes it as "long non-coding RNA (PPAT_LNC002059)". Lineage: Eukaryota; Viridiplantae; Streptophyta; Bryopsida; Funariales; Funariaceae. The record is from RNAcentral.
AAGUUAUAAUGAAGUCACUAUGUUGGAUACCACAUGCAAGUCAGGUUUUUUUUUCUCCAGUUCAAAGAUGAAUAUGUUUAUUCCAUAUUUCUUGUUGCUUAACAAUAUGGGAAAUAUUGACUGUUCCUGUUGUUAAUGUAUAUAUGUAUAAUAUUCAACGUUUUGGCUUGUCAUGUGAACAUCCCUUGCACAUGACCUCUGUUGCUUCAAAUUGACUGUCAAAAGAUGUUUAGAGCCAGGGUGUCAUAAACAAAGAAACGUUUUUUUAUCUCAAGUUUUUCUUACUUCCUUUGUCACCCUGACUGUGAAUCUGAUGAUUUUUAUUUUUAUUUUUAUUUUUAUUUUUUUUGGAAACUAUUACAUUUGGUUUCUUUGAUUAAAAGACAAAUUCAUGCAGAAUAUAAAGCAAACAGGGUGAAAGAUUUUAAGGUAAAUAUGAUCCAGUAUGUGAAUUCCCUGUGUAAAGUGUGUUUUAAUUUCUUUAUAAAAGAAGACAAAAAAGUGAUAAUAAUAAUAAUAAUAAUAAUAAACAAUAUGUAACAUUUACAGUGAUUACAAAGUGAAUAUCAAUGACACACUGCAGAAGUAUUUCAAUCAGACUUGCAAUGUAUGUAAAUAACAUAAUCUUCCCACAACAACCAACCACCACCAAACAAUCAUGCCAAACCAAAAUCAAAAACUUGCUCUCAAACAUGUUUUCAAACUUCAGUCAUACAUACACGUUACCUGAACAAAUACUUUACAAUUAAUUAAGUAUUUAUACACAGUGGUAAAGUCUGUCAUCCUACUGUAUCCUGUGAAACAAUUUUCCCAUUGAUCAUCAAUUACUUGAUUCAUAGCCACAACACAUUCAAAUGGUUCAGGAGACAGUAAAACUCUGAAGUUACUUGAUUAAUUGCACCAGAGCUCUUACUUAUGAAUUCAACUUGUUACAGCCUGUUCUUCUAUGGCUGAUUCUGUCAAAAAUAAAUAAAUAAAUAAAAAUAGUGAAUUUGCAUUGUUCUUUUAAUUAAAUUGCACUUAUUUGCACACUUGCAUAAAAACCUACUUUCUUUUAAAAGAAAAUAAAAGAGUAAAGAGAAUGUGCACACUCUCUCUGACAAGGUUAAGUAAAAUAAACAUUGAUUGAGGAUUAUAGCAUGAUGAAGGUAAACAUAGUUAUCACCAAGACAAUUCACAUCACAAUUUUAGUAUAUGAUGGUUUCAAUUAUUGCUGAAUCAAUUACAUGAGCAAAGUGUGUUGUUAUGUAUGCUUUUAUGCUUUUUAAGUAAGGAAGCAUGAGUUGUGACCAGUGAGCACUAUUCCAGUACAUGAAAGAGAACUGUCCAAGCAAUUUGGAGAUAGAUGUUGAUAUUUCAAUCAAUUAAUCUCCCCAUAUAACAUCUCCUUAUAUCUGUCCAACUCUGCACAUCCCAUGACUACCACCAUCAAUUGAAGCUUGUGUGGGGACAGAUGCCACCAUAUUUCUCUUAUAUAAUUUAAAGUUCAAGGGCUUUCCUAUUGUAAGAGUGAUUCUCUGUCCUAAAAGAGAGCAUCACAGCACUGAAAGUAUGCUGACUAUUU